This 285-nucleotide ribosomal RNA is filed under the name Cronobacter sakazakii. RNAcentral describes it as "partial 23S ribosomal RNA". It matches the Rfam family "Bacterial large subunit ribosomal RNA", at positions 911 to 1194 of the family's 2925-position model. Lineage: Bacteria; Pseudomonadati; Pseudomonadota; Gammaproteobacteria; Enterobacterales; Enterobacteriaceae. RNAcentral also lists the same sequence under 11 other names. The record is from RNAcentral.
UGUUUCGGCUAGGGGGCCAUCCCGGCUUACCAACCCGAUGCAAACUGCGAAUACCGGAGAAUGUUAUCACGGGAGACACACGGCGGGUGCUAACGUCCGUCGUGAAGAGGGAAACAACCCAGACCGCCAGCUAAGGUCCCAAAGUCAUGGUUAAGUGGGAAACGAUGUGGGAAGGCCCAGACAGCCAGGAUGUUGGCUUAGAAGCAGCCAUCAUUUAAAGAAAGCGUAAUAGCUCACUGGUCGAGUCGGCCUGCGCGGAAGAUGUAACGGGGCUAAACCAUGCAC